GGUGCAUUAGGGUUAGGCAAGGGUUUCUGAUUUUUUUUUUUUUCAAUUGAAGCAACAGUAGGGAUGACAGAGAAAAUGUUGGGGUGAGAGAGAUGAAAGAGAAAGGAUUAAGAGGAAUGACGGGAUUGAGUAAGUUUUUUUUUUUAGUUUUGAGAAUGAAAAUUAUUUAAAUAUCCUUGACUUUAGAACUUAGAAUCCAUGAUAUACGAGGGAAUUUUUGUUUAUUAUAAUCCGAUAUACAUUGUUAAAACGUACCAACUGAAAAAU
This 267-nucleotide long non-coding RNA is filed under the name Vigna radiata. RNAcentral describes it as "long non-coding RNA (VRAD_LNC011028)". The record is from RNAcentral. Lineage: Eukaryota; Viridiplantae; Streptophyta; Magnoliopsida; Fabales; Fabaceae.